UGGGGAAUAUUGGGCAAUGGGCGCAAGCCUGACCCAGCAACGCCGCGUGAGGGAAGAAGGUUUUCGGAUUGUAAACCUCUGUCGCAGAAGACGAAGGAAGUGACGGUAAUCUGUGAGGAAGCCCCGGCUAACUACGUGCCAGCAGCCGCGGUAAUACGUAGGGGGCAAGCGUUAUCCGGAAUUAUUGGGCGUAAAGAGUGCGUAGGUGGUUACCUAAGCAGGGGGUGAAAGGCACUGGCUUAACCAAUGUCAGCCCCCUGAACUGGGCUACUUGAGUGCAGGAGGGGAAAGCGGAAUUCCUAGUGUAGCGGUGAAAUGCGUAGAUAUUAGGAGGAACACCAGUGGCGAAGGCGGCUUUCUGGACUGUUACUGACACUGAGGCACGAAAGUGUGGGGAGCAAACAGGAUUAGAUACCCUGGUAGU
Molecule: ribosomal RNA, 424 nt
Filed under: uncultured bacterium
Lineage: Bacteria
Description: bacterial SSU rRNA
Rfam family: Bacterial small subunit ribosomal RNA
Source: RNAcentral